AAAUGCUUCUUUUCUUAAGGACAAGCUGUGAUGGGGAGGGAAAUAAUAGUACCGAAGUUCCUGAUGUCACACUGCCGAGAAAAGCUUCUAGUGAGAAAACAGCGGCCCGUACCGCAAACCGACACAGGUAGUCGAGGAGAGAAUCCUAAGGUGAGCGAGAGAACUCUCGUUAAGGAACUCGGCAAAAUGACCCCGUAACUUCGGGAGAAGGGGUGCUGAUCAUACGAUCAGCCGCAGUGAAUAGGCCCAAGCGACUGUUUAUCAAAAACACAGGUCUCUGCAAAAUCGUAAGAUGAAGUAUAGGGGCUGACGCCUGCCCGGUGCUGGAAGGUUAAGAGGAGUGCUUAGCGCAAGCGAAGGUACGAAUUGAAGCCCCAGUAAACGGCGGCCGUAACUAUAACGGUCCUAAGGUAGCGAAAUUCCUUGUCGGGUAAGUUCCGACCCGCACGAAAGGCGUAACGAUUUGGGCACUGUCUCAACGAGAGACUCGGUGAAAUUUUAGUACCUGUGAAGAUGCAGGUUACCCGCGACAGGACGGAAAGACCCCAUGGAGCUUUACUGUAGUUUGAUAUUGAGUGUCUGUACCGCAUGUACAGGAUAGGUAGGAGCCGUAGAAAUCGGAACGCUAGUUUCGAUGGAGGCGCUGGUGGGAUACUACCCCU
This 662-nucleotide ribosomal RNA is filed under the name Enterococcus faecium. RNAcentral's name for it is "partial 23S ribosomal RNA". It matches the Rfam family "Bacterial large subunit ribosomal RNA", at positions 1538 to 2207 of the family's 2925-position model. Lineage: Bacteria; Bacillati; Bacillota; Bacilli; Lactobacillales; Enterococcaceae. The record is from RNAcentral.